This 498-nucleotide ribosomal RNA is filed under the name uncultured bacterium. RNAcentral describes it as "partial 16S ribosomal RNA". It matches the Rfam family "Bacterial small subunit ribosomal RNA", at positions 30 to 523 of the family's 1533-position model. The record is from RNAcentral.
AUUGAACGCUGGCGGCAUGCCUUACACAUGCAAGUCGAACGGUAACAGGUCUUCGGAUGCUGACGAGUGGCGAACGGGUGAGUAAUACAUCGGAACGUGCCUAGUAGUGGGGGAUAACUACUCGAAAGAGUGGCUAAUACCGCAUGAGAUCUACGGAUGAAAGCGAGGGAUCGAAAGACCUUGUGCUACUAGAGCGGACGGGGGAAGAUUAGGUAGUUGGUGGGAUAAAAGCGUACCAAGCCGACGAUCUUUAGCUGGUCUGAGAGGACCAUCAGGCAGACUUGGACUGAGAGACGACCCAUACACCUACGGGAGUCAGCAGUGGGGAAUUUUGGACAAUGGGGGAAAGCCUGAUCCAGCAAUGCCGCGGGCAGGAUGAAGGCCUUCGGGUUGUAAACUGCUUUUGUACGGAACGAAAAGCCCCGGGUUAAUACCCUGGGGUCAUGACGGUACCGUAAGAAUAAGCACCGGCUAACUACGUGCCAGCCGCCGCAGUAA